RNAcentral lists this ribosomal RNA (588 nucleotides) under uncultured bacterium. RNAcentral describes it as "partial 16S ribosomal RNA". It matches the Rfam family "Bacterial small subunit ribosomal RNA", at positions 353 to 1375 of the family's 1533-position model. The record is from RNAcentral.
UGGGGGAAUUUUUGGACAAUGGGCGAAAGCCUGAUCCAGCAAUGCCCCGUGUGUGAAGAAGGCCUUCGGGUUGUAAAGCACUUUUGUCCGGAAAGAAAUCCUUGGCUCUAAUACAGUCGGGGGGAUGACGGUACCGGAAGAAUAAGCACCGGCUAACUACGUGCCAGCAGCCGCGGUAAUACGUAGGGUGCAAGCGUUAAUCGGAAUUACUGGGCGUAAAGCGUGCGCAGGCGGUUUGCUAAGACCGAUGUGAAAUCCCCGGGCUCAACCUGGGAACUGCAUUGGUGACUGGCAGGCUAGAGUAUGGCAGAGGGGGGUAGAAUUCCACGUGUAGCAGUGAAAUGCGUAGAGAUGUGGAGGAAUACCGAUGGCGAAGGCAGCCCCCUGGGCCAAUACUGACGCUCAUGCACGAAAGCGUGGGGAGCAAACAGGAUUAGAUACCCUGGUAGUCCACGCCCUAAACGAUGUCAACUAGUUGUUGGGGAUUCAUUUCCUAGUAACGUAGCUAACGCGUGAAGUUGACCGCCUGGGGGAGUACGGUCGCAAGAUUAAAACUUAAAGGAAUUGACGGGGUCAUAGCUGUUUCCU